Molecule: long non-coding RNA, 1926 nt
Organism: Cephus cinctus (wheat stem sawfly)
Lineage: Eukaryota; Metazoa; Arthropoda; Insecta; Hymenoptera; Cephidae
Exons: 7
Source: RefSeq, a predicted model, not a curated record
CUACGCGGCGACAGUAAUAACAUAACAUAGCCACAUGGCUACCUUAUGGACAUGAAAACUACGUUUGUAAUUCGAUAACUGUCAACGAGCUUGAGUUCCGUCGUCAAAUGCAAAAGUACCGAUGAGAAUUCUUUGGUAUACCGAGUCUGCUAUUCUGAGUGGCGAGUGGAUGCGUUCGCAGCACUUUGAUGGCUUCGAUAAUCAAACUAGGCACUGUACUAUCCAGUCUACGUUGCCACGAAGUUGCUUUACUUUCAUGGCUAUUGCAGCACACCUGACCCUCAUCCACGAGUAGCUCGGUUCCUUGAUAGGUCGACUAAGCCAAACAGCUCGCGGAAAUCACCUGCUUCUUCAUUCCACAACUUCAAAGCCAGCAAGAUGCACACCUAAGGCCACUGGCGAUGCAAAAUAUUUGUCACGUGAACUCUACGUGCCAAUAGGAUGACAGAUGAUAAUUGCAUAGGUGUUCCUUCAUCUCAUGACCAACCACCUCACGAGCUUCCGUAUAUAUAUGCUACCUACUCAGUUACAUAUGUAUUCUAGUAAUCCAUACGUAUAAUAGUCAUGGAAUAUGUGAGUUGGCAUAAGGUUCCAGUAUGCAGCAUAUAUGAAUCACGGCAUAUGUAGUUUCACUGGCGCCAGCAGUAGCGUCGAACCAUAUACGUAGGCGCAUCGUUACUUUCAGAUAAGCGCAUACCGAUGGAUUUUCCCGUACCAGGCCUCACCCCCUGCUCCUCCACCCUCGUGAAGUAUUGUCAGACGAUUUAACCGACUGCUAAUAAUACUUACGGAAAUGCUCAAAAUAAAUUGUUUCACGGAGCGUUGACCUCGAUGACUUCGCGCGAGGUCAGCCUCUGCUUUCGGUCUGCGCAAGCAGUGAGGCCAGCAAGUAAGUCAGACUGUUCUGAGACUUGUAUUGUGAGAUAGGUGAAGGUGGUGGACGGAUUGCAUAUACAUAUAUAUAUAUAUUGCUUGGAAGAAACUUAUGUCUGAUUGGAUUGUAUACCAGUUUUUGGCUGAGCGCUGCAUUCCGGAUUGUACUGCUGACUUGUAUACUGCACUGGCGCCACGUACAUUGGCUGUCACGUGGUUUGCACUUGCACGCAAGAGGAAUUGCAUAGUACGGGAGGCAGAUGGAGACGGGACAAAUCGUAUUGCAAUGUAACCAGGUCGUUUCACUUGGCUAUGAGUAUAUUAACAUUCCAGGAUGGGAUACAUUUCAUUUUUAGUAAAAAAAAAAAGUGACAGUCCUUUAUCGAACUUGGAUUUAGCAUUGGUAUUGAAGGUAUAAAAAAAUGUUUGCUCCAUUUUCAAAAUACAUCAAUACCAGUAUAAAUUGCACAUAAGAAUUACAUUGCAAUACGUAGCACGCUUGCCAUUCGCCAAAGCAUAAAAUAUCGAAAUGAUAAUCGACCUUGGCCCUUAUCAACUGGAUAAUACGGAAGCAUAAAACUGAAGCAGUGAAAAAAUUCCUAAAAUCACGUCGGACGGCGAAGUGGAAUUUGGAAAAAAACAAUCAAACUCUAAUAAAGCAAUCUAUUCCACGCUGUUAUGCGCGUAGGAAUUUGAAUUUCUCACGAGUGCACUACGCCAGCGACUAAGUGCUUAUGUUGGUACCCGUGCCGUCAUGUUUUACGCGUUGCUACAGUUCAUGAAUAAAGUCACGAGUCACGUUACAUAUGGCACGCAUGAAAUCUCAACGAGCUGACUCACCCACCGAAACGUAUCCCGGCCUACCGUUCCAUUCGUCUUAGCAUACAUUCAUAUUGUUCCAGAUUUUACAGACAUUUUUUAAGAAUUUUCUAUGGCAAUUUUUCUAUUCACCGCUUAUAACCAAUUUCUUUGAACCAGUGCAAAACAAGACCCACUGAACGCAAUUUGACAGAUGAUUAUAAAGAUCAAUAAAAAUAAAUAGUCAAAUAUUAA